CCAAUUUUGUAAUUUUCGUUGACAUAAGUUCAUGGCGGCGAUGUGAACAUAGCCUAAAAUUCUGUCAUUUCUGUUGCUAUAGUGCGAUUCCCCCCCUCUGUGUUCUCUAAAUAUAUGUAGCAAGCCGAGCCAUACGUGUGUGGAGACUGUACGAUGGCCCAGCUUCCAUCUCACAGGCCAUAACAACACUACAUUGGAAGGAGCUGACUGGCUGCUGUCACACCGCUGAGCUGUGCUGGCAUUUCAAGGAGGCGGGCACAAGGCUGGCUUACCCCAACAUAAACAUUUGUAGCUUGGUCUCCCCCCUCCCCCAACACAAGUUCAGCAACCCGGGCGUGUGCAGAGGAGGGUGGAACACACAAGUACAGCACAACAUCCCCAUCAAUAACCUGACAGCAGCCGCCCUCUCCAUACAAAGAGCAUGGCACAGACAGACUGUCAAAGAGGGCCCUAGGAAAGCUACCACAAAGACCAGAGGGAAAGAGAGUGCUGUAUGCAAGAAAAGUGACUUAAGUGACCAAGGUCUGAACUGACCAAAACGUCAAGAUUUGGAGUCACAAAAGAAGGCAUUCUUCCUUAUCUACCUAUGUAUUCUUUGGAGGAUAUGUCACAAUAAAAGAAUUUUACUUGCAUGUUAACCCUGAGUGUGCAGUAGUAUUUCUCUUACUAUUGUUUUUGGAUCCACUCCACUGAAACACCUCACAAAUUGGACAGCGAGUGCAGCCCAACUAAGGAGGUACUACAAGAACAAAGAAGGGAAAUUGGUGAAAAUAAUGUUGGAAAAAAUACAGUCAGAGAGAAAAACACUGAUAAAUUUAAGUGGGCAUUCAAAACU
Molecule: long non-coding RNA, 835 nt
Organism: Bufo gargarizans (Asiatic toad)
Lineage: Eukaryota; Metazoa; Chordata; Amphibia; Anura; Bufonidae
Exons: 3
Source: RefSeq, a predicted model, not a curated record